Molecule: ribosomal RNA, 484 nt
Filed under: uncultured bacterium
Lineage: Bacteria
Description: partial 16S ribosomal RNA
Rfam family: Bacterial small subunit ribosomal RNA
Source: RNAcentral
GAUGAACGCUGGCGGCGUGCUUAACACAUGCAAGUCGAACGGUGAAGCAGGAGCUUGCUCUUGUGGAUCAGUGGCGAACGGGUGAGUAACACGUGAGCAACCUGCCCCUGACUCUGGGAUAAGCGCUGGAAACGGCGUCUAAUACUGGAUAUGUGAUGUGACCGCAUGGUCUGCAUCUGGAAAGAAUUUCGGUUGGGGAUGGGCUCGCGGCCUAUCAGCUUGUUGGUGAGGUAAUGGAUCACCAAGGCGUGGACGGGUAGCCGGCCUGAGAGGGUGACCGGCCACACUGGGACUGAGACACGGCCCAGACUCCUACGGGAGGCAGCAGUGGGGAAUAUUGCACAAUGGGCGGAAGCCUGAUGCAGCAACGCCGCGUGAGGGGUGACGGCCUUCGGGUUGUAAACCUCUUUUAGCAGGGAAGAAGCGAAAGUGACGGUACCUGCAGAAAAAGCACCGGCUAACUACGUGCCAGCAGCCGCCGUAA